GAUGAACGCUGGCGGCGUGCCUAAUACAUGCAAGUCGAGCGAACAGACGAGGAGCUUGCUCCUCUGACGUUAGCGGCGGACGGGUGAGUAACACGUGGAUAACCUACCUAUAAGACUGGGAUAACUUCGGGAAACCGGAGCUAAUACCGGAUAAUAUAUUGAACCGCAUGGUUCAAUAGUGAAAGACGGUUUUGCUGUCACUUAUAGAUGGAUCCGCGCCGCAUUAGCUAGUUGGUAAGGUAACGGCUUACCAAGGCAACGAUGCGUAGCCGACCUGAGAGGGUGAUCGGCCACACUGGAACUGAGACACGGUCCAGACUCCUACGGAGGGCAGCAGUAGGGAAUCUUCCGCAAUGGGCGAAAGCCUGACGGAGCAACGCCGCGUGAGUGAUGAAGGUCUUCGGAUCGUAAAACUCUGUUAUUAGGGAAGAACAAAUGUGUAAGUAACUAUGCACGUCUUGACGGUACCUAAUCAGAAAGCCACGGCUAACUACGUG
This 497-nucleotide ribosomal RNA is filed under the name uncultured bacterium. RNAcentral describes it as "partial 16S ribosomal RNA". It matches the Rfam family "Bacterial small subunit ribosomal RNA", at positions 28 to 507 of the family's 1533-position model. The record is from RNAcentral.